UACGUAGGGUGCGAGCGUUAAUCGGAAUUACUGGGCGUAAAGCGUGCGCAGGCGGUGAUGUAAGACAGGUGUGAAAUCCCCGGGCUUAACCUGGGAACUGCAUUUGUGACUGCAUCGCUGGAGUGCGGCAGAGGGGGAUGGAAUUCCGCGUGUAGCAGUGAAAUGCGUAGAUAUGCGGAGGAACACCGAUGGCGAAGGCAAUCCCCUGGGCCUGCACUGACGCUCAUGCACGAAAGCAUGGGGAGCAAACAGG
Molecule: ribosomal RNA, 253 nt
Filed under: uncultured bacterium
Lineage: Bacteria
Description: partial 16S ribosomal RNA
Rfam family: Bacterial small subunit ribosomal RNA
Source: RNAcentral